CUGAAACGCAAGGAGGCUUCAUCAUAAGCUCUGGCUGCAGCCUCUGCUGUUUGGAAUGUUCCUAACCACACUCUGCUCGCCUUUAUCGGGUCCCUUAUCUCUGCCGCCCAUUUCCCCCACGGCCUCUGCCUCACUCCUCUCAGGCUGCGAGGCUUCACGUGAGAAUUCACCGAAUGAUGUAUUUGUAUUUGUAUUUGUAUUAUCCUCUUCCCUCCUUCUCUUCAGAACAGAGUUGCCACCAUGAGAUGAAGAAGGUGCCACUGCCACAGAAGCACAAGCCAUAUUUGAUGUCACAAAAACUUCACUAUUGUUGUUAUUAUUAUUAUUAUUAUUAUUGAUACUGUGAUCCUCUCCACACACGACAUGGGUCAAAGCAGAGAUCAUGGCUGACAUCUCCCUCUCUCGGUUCAGACCCGAAAACAUGAAUGGCACUGACAAAAGCUUCUCGUUACCCUUUCCACCGUGAUUCGCCAUGUAGCUUCACCUCUUUGUAAUUUGCAUGCACGCCCUCCAACUCAACCCAACCCUUUUUCAUACCAUGGAAAAGUUCAAUUUGGUAACAGCCGCCAUCAAGAUUCAAGAAUAGUGGUCGGUGUUUAAACAACACGAAUGUCAGAAAUGAAUGCAACAGUGAUAGUAAUAGUAUAUGCUUUUUGAAGAUUCAGUUUGUUUUGUCCUAGUUAAGGAAGGAUGGGUCAAAAGCGUUUAGGUGUGAAAGCUGAAACUACGUUGCGUUUUUGUGGAGUGAACCAACUUGACGGUUCUCAACGAAUCGGUCGGUGCUCACUGCUCACAAAAAGGUUACAACAGUAAUUAGCCGACAUCCAAUUUAAUUAUUCUUUUUUUAUAUUUAUUUUAUGCAUGAUCGAUCUUAUAUUUUAAUUAACCCACUUCAAAUGCAAACCACUUGUCGCCAUAUUCUCUUUUGUGUGCAAAUUGGAAUCAUUAAUUCUAUUUCUCAUCCAAUGCCAAAUGUAUCCCAUUCUAAUUGCAUCAAUAUGCAAGUUGCUUCUCACACUUGAUAUCAAAUUGCCAAGUUGCAUACGCCA
This is a non-coding RNA of Cajanus cajan (pigeon pea), 1049 nucleotides long. The record is from RefSeq and is a predicted model, not a curated record. NCBI's taxonomy places the organism in Eukaryota, Viridiplantae, Streptophyta, Magnoliopsida, Fabales, Fabaceae.